This 254-nucleotide ribosomal RNA is filed under the name uncultured bacterium. Its description in RNAcentral is "partial 16S ribosomal RNA". It matches the Rfam family "Bacterial small subunit ribosomal RNA", at positions 524 to 776 of the family's 1533-position model. The record is from RNAcentral.
UACGUAGGGUGCAAGCGUUGUCCGGAAUUAUUGGGCGUAAAGAGCUCGUAGGCGGUCUGUCGCGUCGGUCGUGAAAACUUGGGGCUUAACCCUGAGCUUGCGGUCGAUACGGGCAUGACUGGAGUUCGGCAGGGGAGACUGGAAUUCCUGGUGUAGCGGUGAAAUGCGCAGAUAUCAGGAGGAACACCGGUGGCGAAGGCGGGUCUCUGGGCCGAUACUGACGCUCAGGCACGAAAGCGUGGGGAGCAAACAGG